RNAcentral lists this ribosomal RNA (530 nucleotides) under Phrynobatrachus natalensis (Natal puddle frog). RNAcentral's name for it is "partial 16S ribosomal RNA". It matches the Rfam family "Bacterial large subunit ribosomal RNA", at positions 1808 to 2582 of the family's 2925-position model. Lineage: Eukaryota; Metazoa; Chordata; Amphibia; Anura; Phrynobatrachidae. The record is from RNAcentral.
CAAAAACAUCGCCUCCUGCUCAUCUAUAGGAGGUCCAGCCUGCCCAGUGACAAAGUUUAACGGCCACGGUACCCUAACCGCGCAAAGGUAGCAUAAUCACUUGUUCUUUAAAUAAGGACCUGUAUCAACGGCAUCACGAGAGCUGAACUGUCUCCCCUCUCUAAUCAGUGAACCUGAUCUCUUCGUGAAAAAGCGAAGAUAAAAAUACAAGACGAGAAGACCCCAUGGAGCUUAAGACCACAUAACACACUUUUUAUUUUUACCCUAAAAAAUGGGGGACCUGUUAGCUAGUCUUCGGCUGGGGCAUCCAAGGAGUAAAAUUCAACCUCCCUAACAAAACAUCUUAGAGCUACAACUCCAAGGGGCAGCAAACUGAUGCAAAUGACCCGAUUAUCGAUCAAUGAACCAAGUUACCCUGGGGAUAACAGCGCAAUCCAUUUUGAAAGCCCCUAUCGACAAAUGGGUUUACGACCUCGAUGUUGGAUCAGGGUAUCCCAGUGGUGCAGCCGCUACUAAAGGUUCGUUUGUUC